AUUGAACGCUGGCGGCAUGCCUUACACAUGCAAGUCGAACGGCAGCGGACCUUCGGGUGCCGGCGAGUGGCGAACGGGUGAGUAAUAUAUCGGAACGUACCUUUCAGUGGGGGAUAACGUAGCGAAAGUUACGCUAAUACCGCAUAUUCUGUGAGCAGGAAAGCAGGGGAUCGCAAGACCUUGCGCUGAUUGAGCGGCCGAUAUCCGAUUAGCUAGUUGGUGAGGUAAAGGCUCACCAAGGCGACGAUCUGUAGCGGGUCUGAGAGGAUGAUCCGCCACACUGGAACUGAGACACGGCCCAGACUCCUACGGGAGGCAGCAGUGGGGAAUUUUGGACAAUGGGCGCAAGCCUGAUCCAGCCAUGCCGCGUGAGUGAAGAAGGCCU
This 385-nucleotide ribosomal RNA is filed under the name uncultured bacterium. Its description in RNAcentral is "bacterial SSU rRNA". It matches the Rfam family "Bacterial small subunit ribosomal RNA", at positions 30 to 417 of the family's 1533-position model. The record is from RNAcentral.